RNAcentral lists this long non-coding RNA (7262 nucleotides) under Sus scrofa (pig). RNAcentral's name for it is "lncRNA (ENSSSCG00000059942.1)". The record is from RNAcentral. Lineage: Eukaryota; Metazoa; Chordata; Mammalia; Artiodactyla; Suidae.
UCUACCUGACUCCAAAAGCUGUAACCUUUAAAACAAGUGUUCAGCCUGUUUCCUUCCUCCUAUACUGACAUCCACUAGUUAGAACAUUCAGAAUUUUUUUCAAAACUAUAAUGUCUGUGUGUGUGUGUGUUUAUUUUUAGGGCCACAUCCACAGCAUAUGGAGGUUCCCAGACCAGGGGCCAAAUUGGAGCUGUAGCUACCGGCCUACAUCACAACCACAGCAACGCCAGAACCAAGUCGCAUCUGCUAUGUAUGCCACAGCUCACAGCAACGCCAACACUGGAUCCUUAACCCACUGAGUGAGGCCAGGGAUCGAAACUGCAUCUUCAUGGAUGCUAGCCAGAUUCCUUUCCACCGAGCCAUGUCAGGAACUCCCAAAACUAUAGUGUCUUAAAGUGACUUUUACAAUAUUUUUGGUUCUACUUGGAUUGUGUCAAGUACACUAGUUUUUAGCAAAUAUUUAAAGCGAUAUUUUGUUUAAUCUGUAGAAUUUUUGAAUGAGAAUGAAUUUUCAAGAUUAUCUAAAUAAACUACCUUUACUUUUACUAAAAAAGAACAACAAAGCCAUAAAAAUGUGAGAUUUUCCCAUGGUCACGUAAGUCUACAGUAGAGUCAAGAACAGGACCAGAAUCCACUUCUUAUAAAUGCCACCCAAUCCUUUCUCUGCUUGUUGAUGAUGAACGAAAAAGUUUUUGUUCUAGAACAUUUACAACCUGUACAUGAUAACUUGGUGUGUCAUUCUAACACUUGCUUUCUGUAGAAGUAGGCACAAAUUUUAAAUGUUCCUCUUUUUUCCCUUCUACCAACAUGAGCAACGUAAUAUUCAGCUGUCGAUAAUCUUGAUGCCUUUGUGUUCCAGUCAAACCAGCAUCAUGCCAUGUAUCUUUUCUCUUAAGCAUGAGCAUGAAAAAAAUUUCUCCCUCAUCAAAAAUAAAAACAAAAAAAAUGACAACAAUUCUCCAUGCUGCAACCUAUUUUUUAGGUAGUGUAGUGCCAUUUACUCUUCCAUUUCUGUUUUUUUAAAAAAAGAAAGAAAAUAUACAAUAUAUAAAAGGAUUAGCUGUGAUUGUCUUCCCAUGAGAACUUUCACUUCAUGAGCACACUAAGACUGAAAUCUGUUAUUAAUAAUAGAAGGCAGAUCAUAUCAUGUCUUCUUUUAGUAAGCACAAGAAGAUUUUUUAGUAAAAGUAUAAACACAAACUAUGUAUGCUUACAUAUUCUCAUUAUGAAACAGUUCUCUUUAGUAAUGCAAAUUUUAAUAUUCAUGUAACUGGCAAGUAUUUAAAAAUAUUAUGUUUGCAAAGUCUUUAUAGUGAAGCAUGAAAUCUAAAUAUCAAUAAGGAGAUAGAAAUUUGCUAUAAAGAUCAUUAUUUAUUAAAAUAAUGAUCUAAAGAAGCUGGAAAAGUGUUCUGUUAGCUUCCACUUGGUGAACUUAGUCAAGUGGUCUCCAAACUCAGUUACUUCUGAAAUAACCAGUGUUAAAAAAUGGUAAAGUCCCAUUCAGGCUUACUCCCUUUGCUGUUAUUUAGCAGUAAAUCCAGGGAAAAGGUGCCAUUUGUUGAAGUUUUAUGUGAAAUACAGGAUAAGAUGUAUGGAAAAUCUUCAUGACUCCCUUAACGAAUUUUGGAAAACUUAGUUCCAGUUUUGUUUCUUCCAUUUUAUAAAAGAAACUUCAUGUUUGUUUGUAUUACCUUCUAAAAUAUCUUCCUCUAUAGUAUGGGGAAAAAUAAUGCCAACAUUCUUUAAAAGACUGUUGUGAGAAUAAAAUCUGAUAAAAACUAUAAAAGUACUUUGUAAAGUGCAGAAUACAAAAGUAUUAGUUUUUACCUUCUAAACACUGGUGGUAGAAAUAUUAAAUGGUGUAUUCUAUAUAAAAAGUGACAUUAAAUAUAAGGCAAGUACUUUAAACAUCUACCAUGCCCUUUGAUUUAACAACUUCACUUUAAAGAUUCUAUCAUCAUGAAAUAAUCAAAGAUGUGGCAGAAGAUGUACAAUAAGAUCACGACAGUAAAAUUUGCUGAUAAUAAAUAGCACAGAAACAGUCUAAAAUACCAAAAAAAAAUGAUAAACACAGAAACAGUCUAAAAUACCAAAAAAAAUGAUAAAGUCAAAUCAUCAAAUCAUCCAUUAAUUAAAAAAUCAUGGCCUUGAAAAUUAAUGAUAGAUACUAUCAAAUGUGCAUGAUAUAAUAACAAGCAAAAUAGAAAACUGGAUUUAUAAUACCAUUAUAAAUACGCAUUAUAAUUACAAAUAAGUUGUGUGCAUGAGUUCAAGUGUGUGUGUGUUGACAAAGAUUCUUUGCUUAACCAAACUUAAGUCAAUUUCCUGAAACUUAUUCUGACCAUUUCCUUAUAAAAUCCAGUUUUAGCAAUAACUCUACUAAGUCAGUCAGAUAUCAUAUAUCAGGAUAUAUGAUAUCCCUUAGUAUCUGAUCAGAUUCUUCAUUCUCUAACAUCCUGCCUGGUGUUCAGCAAAGAAUCCAGUUAAAUCAGUUUAGCCAGGAACUCCUUUAUUUCUGAUAUUAAUUUUCCUACUCCUUCCUCUGAGUAAAUUUCCUGAUCCCUACCCUGCUCCUGGCCCAUAAGUUCCCAUUUGCCCAGGCUGUAUUCAGAAUUAAGCCUGGUUCUACACUAAGGUCUUUUUUUCCUCUAUUCUAACAAUCCAACUAUGGUUUUAUUUUUGUUGGUCUGUAUGUGAAGGAACUAAUCAAAAUGGUAGAAAAGUUUCUCUGCUUAUGUCUGGGUGUUGAAAUUAUGGGUGAUUUGCAUUUUCUUUAUACUUGUUUAUCUCUCUAAACUUUUCUACAAUAAAGUUGCUUUAUUUUUACAGUCAAAAAUAGAUUAUUAGUCCAUAAAAAGGGAGUUUCCACUGUGGCAUGGGGGGGAGGAAGUGGGAUGGACAGGGAGGUUAGGGUUAGAAGAUGCAAACUAUUACAUUUAGAAUGACUAAGCAAUGCGGUCCUAUUGUAUAUCAUAGGGAACUAUAUCCGAUCUCUUGGGAUAGACCGUGAUGGAAGAUAAUAUCAGAAAAAGAAUAUGUCAGGGUCACUAUGCUGUAUAGCAGAAAUUGACACAACACUGUAAAUUAGCUAUACUCUAAUAAGAAAGAAAAAAGGAAGGAAGGAGGGAAGGAUGGAGAGAGGAGAAGGAGGGAAAGAGAGAGGGAGGGAUGGAGAAAGGGAGGGGAGGAGGAAAGAAAGGAAAGGAAAGUAGGAAAGAAGGAUGGAAGAAUCCAGCUGCUGCGUCUCGGCUUGCUACAGAGGCGUGGGUUCAAUCCCUAUCCUGGCACAGUGCGUUAAAGGAUAGGUCAUAGCUGCAGGUCAAAUUUGAUCCCUGGCCCAGGAACUUCCCCAUGCCAUAGUUGUGGCCAUCAAGAAAAAAGUCAAGAAACAGAUUAUUAGUAAAGAUAAGUGAUGAAAAAGAAACUCAUUUAGUAUCACAUGCAUUUCUAAUAGCACUGUGAAACAUUGUAAGCACAAUUAUAACUACCAAAUGAGUGGUCCCAGCUAUAUGCUUAGCAUCAUGCUCACUACUUCAUGGAUGUUAUUUUUGCAAAGUCUGUAACUAGGCAUCAUUGUUUCCAUUAUCAAGUUGAAAAAACUAUGUCUCAGGUUAAAUUCUUGCCAAAAGACAGAGGGUUACUAAACGGUAGAAACUUUUGUCAAACCCUACUCUGUAUGAUUUUAAAGCACAUCUGUUUAACCACUAUCUUUUCUCAAAUAUUAAAAUAGCUAAGUGUAAUCUGUACGUUCCUCUCAAUAACUUAAUCUAGAAAAGAAUAAAUGGGACAUAGGAAAAUAAAUUACAUAGUCUCUACCUUCAUGGUCUAUUGUAGAAGAAAAUAUAUAUGCAAAUAAACAACCUUAUACUUCAAUAGUGUGUAGAAAGGGAAUGCAACACAGCGCUACACUGAAAGCAUGAAUUCUGCAGUUAGAUGAUCAUAGAUUACAAUCCUAAUUAUGCUAUUUAGUUGGACAACCUUGGGCGAGUUGCUUAACCUCUCUCUGAAAAGCUCCUGAAUCAUCUAAGAGGAUGAUGAUAAUAGUUUACAGGAAUGUAGGAAUAUUAAAUGAGAUAAUGGAUAUAUAGUAGUAUUAGAAAUAGAGUGACCUGUGCAUUGUUUAGGAUGUUUUGCUUAACACUGAGUACAAUUUUUAUUUGUUUCUCUUUUAAUUUUUCAUGUUAAUUUUAUAUUGUUUCCAUUAUCACGAUUCUUAUCAUGUUAGAAGUGCCCUCAAUGUAGUAUAAACAGUCAUCUGUCUUCUCCUCCAGCCCAUGCCUAAAGACAGUCCUGAUUAGAUAAGAUGGGUAUGGGACAAGUAUGAGCUAAUGUAACUGAGAACUAUUGAAUCUCUGAAUAUUAGUGUGGAUCACAAAAGGUAAAAGAAUAGAGCAAUUCAGGCAGCAGCUGUAAAGAGUCAGAUGCCAAUGUGAUAGCUAUGGUGAGGCCAGAAAAAUUUCAAAGCAUAAGGAACUUCCAAAAUCAGCCAUGUAGAACUUUGAAACCUAGGGGAGGGAGGCUGAGUUGUGUGCCUUGGGGUGGAGGGUGACUGUUCCUUUCAAAUUGUUGUUGAUAGCAUCUGCCAUUGUUCUCUAUCCCAGGUGUUCAGCCACACUCACACACAAUCCACUACAACAAAGAUAGCCUUCACUGAUUUCUACUAGAUCCUCAUGACAAGUCCACUGCCAUGGACCGGUAAGAGGGGCUGUAAGUCAAACAUAUGAAAAGAAACAGAAUCUAAGUGCUUGUCCUAUUUUACCCAAGCAGUUGUUUCCCAAACAUUAGCACUGGGGUCUUGAUUACAAUGAAUCUGACAUCUUAUAAAAUAACAUAGAUUUUAUUAUUUAGAGACUUCAGGGGAAAGGAGAGCUUACAGUGCCACAUUUCUUAAAGAAUUACUUCCUCACUAAUACUCUCUAAUUUGGAGUGGGAAAUGUAUGUAACCAGUACAAACAGGUAAAUAACUAACAUAAAGAAAUAUUUUCAAAUAAAUAAUAUUUAUCUCUGUAAGCAUUGUUUUUAAACUAUAUUUUAAUGGAUAUAAAAAUUUUUAAUUCCCUUUUAAAUUCCUAAGUAGAGCCUAGUAAACAUAAGUAACAUGUUUUACACAGAAGAAAUAAAAUAAUUGUUUUUGUUUUGGGGGGGUUCAUGUUUUUAUUUUUAGGGCUGCACCUGAGGCAUAAGGAAGUUCCCAGGCUAGGGGUCGAAUCAGAGCUGGAGCUGCCAGCCUACAACAGAGCCACAACAACGGUGGAUCCGAGCCACUCUGCGAGCUAUGCCACAGCUUGUGGCAACACCAGAUCCUUAACCCCCUGAGUGAGGCCAAGGAUCAAACCUGCAUCCUCACAGGCACGAUAUCAAGUUCUUAACCUACUGCGCCACAAUAAGAACUCUCAAAAUAAAAUUUUUCUUAAUUCAAAAUUGUCAUUAAGAAACCGCCAUGAUCCAUCUGUUACUAUAUUAUGUAACUAAAAAUUAACGUCCUCAAGAGGUGCUGCUUUGUUUCAAGUCAUUUGUCCCUGUACUAAUUGGUCUCACAUUGUGCCAGUCAGUGACUUAUAUUUAUUUGUAUAUUUUCUUUGAUUCCCUUGCCAUUUAGAUAUUAGUUCUUACUAGCUGUUGCUCUCCUCAUAUUUGUUUCUAGUGGCUAUCUUUUCAUGCCUACAUUGUCUGCUUCUGAAAUAAAAUGACUAGUGCAUGUGGGUUUUCAGAAAGCAUAAAUGGAGAAGACAGUCUGAGCAAGAACUUGAAGGGUUUGCUUUAGUUUAUGGUAUCCACCAUUUCCAUAUAUAUUUUAAACUUAUUUAUUGAUUUUCAGUUGUAUUCCCAGUGGUUCUAAAUGGUUGAAAUUACCAGUUAGUGACUAAAUAAAUGAAAUGAAUUAGAAUAAAUUUUUUUAGAUGAAAGAGAAGAACAAAGUAAAGAAUUAGGAUGUUUAUGUUAGGAAAUUCAGGAACUUUCUAGACAAGCUUUGAGUACAUGGAAAUACCAGUUCCCUUUAGCUAUAUUACCAAGCUGUUGUAUAAAGAUUCAAGAGAGAAGUGGCCGCCCCAAAUAUUAGAUUCAACUUCUAAGGAUGUGUGGUUUAAAUUCGUUCCUUUGGGAUCCUUUCCUCUCAUCCUACCAUCCCACUGUUAUCCAAGCUCAGGUGCAAAAAGAGAGUUGGUGGCAGGCCUUUGCAAACCUGUUUCUCCCCAUUACAUCUAGGCCCCUAGGAUUUAUCUCGUCUUCUGGUUACAAGGAUAUUCUUUGAUGCAAUCCUUGGAGAUAUGGAAAUGAGAAAAUUUAAAAAAUAGUAAUCUUUCAACUAUUUCUGGGAAGAAAGCCCUUCUUGAAAUUCUGGGGUCAGAAGACUGUAAAAUAGUAUGCAUUUCAGAAGUUACAUCAUAAAUGAAACACUGCUCAAAGACUGGAGUGUGCAGUUUUGCAUUCAGAUGCCAAUCUCUGAUUUUAAAGAAUUGUCAAGGUCUGUAUUAUUUUCUGGGCAGAACAGAAUCAUCCUAAAACUCAACAAAAGGAAUUCACAUAUGAAUAUGGAAUCUUUCCCAUAUUUGACAGGGUAAGAUUUCUUUAAAAUGACAUAGGGAAGAAAAGUCACUCUUCUGAAGUGACUUAUAUGCUUAUUCAACUGUAGUUAUAAAAAGAAAAGGCACAUAUAUUCAUCACUCAAUCUCCCAGAGAUGCUUUCACCUGCUCAUGCCUUUCAGACCUCUUCCCAUGAUGCCAUGUGGAGGCACUAAGUGAGAGCAGCUCUCACAGAAGAUGUAUCUCAUAGAUACAGACUACAGAGAGCAGCCCAGGCACAUGCACAAAGGCCAUAAUUCAAUUGAGAGGUUCUGUGUCCACACACAGGGGAUUUAAGCUUCCUCCUUCCGUUCAUAAACUCAUAGGUACCAAACUUUAUCAUAGCCAGAUUUUUAACUGUGGCCAAAAGCAAACCUGAUGGAGAUACUAUGAAGUUAAAAAGUGAUAAUAAAGCUCUCAGUAGGAAAUACUAGAUUAAAUCUCUAAUGACAGACAGAGAUACUUGACAAGAUGAAAAUGCAGGUACUUGAUAGGAUGAAAAUGUAAAGGUUCCCAGAUUUUAGAAGUUAAAGCUCUACUACUACUUCAGAGACUUCAGUCACAUCUGACUGAGAACACAUUGCACAUGUGGCCAAAUACUGUUUUUAUUAGUUACAAGAAGCCUAAUCCUUCCCAGGAAAGAGUUCCUUUCCAUGGAUGCUUAUUAGUUGACUUAAACCAAUCAAGUAAUUUGCAGG